AAACCCUAGGUGGGAAAAAUCAAAGAGAAAGUGUUGGAAUUCAAGGAUUUGAUCAAGCAAAGGUAAAAUUUCUUUGAUUUUGCUAGUGAUUUACCUUACCCAUGCAUUUUUUCUUAAUUUUCAUGGUUAAAUUACAUGUUUUAAUGAUGAAUUCAUGGCUGGUCAAAAUGGGUAAGGAGAGAGAAAGAUGUUGGAUUGAAUUGAUUUUAAGAUAUGUUAGUGUUUUUAGUUAGUUUAGCAUAUUUAGAAGCAAAACAACAAGAAAAGAAUCUAUUUUCCCCAUGAAUCUUUAUUGGCCGAAUCUUCCUUGAUGUGUGUGGGUGAUGGAUUAUUAUUAUUUCAAGAGAAAUGGCUUAGAAAAUGAUGAAUAAUGGUGAGAAAAUUAAGUAGGAAAAAUCACGGUGUUAGUGCACUGUAAUGGUCGAAUUUUUCCAUGAAGAAAUGUGAAGGUUUUGAUGCUGAAAUUGGUUUUAUUUGAAUAAUGUUUGGUGAAUUGAGGUAUUAGAAAUGAAAUGGAGCAAUUUGGAGCCAAAUCGGACAUAAUUAUCAUUUAAUCGGGUGAUAGGCCGAAUUAGGUCAGCACUGCAUUUAAGCGAUAGUCAGAUAAGUUGCAUAUCAUAUCAUGCAUAUACACCAAGCCUGAAUUGAUUUUAUAAUGGUCAAGCAUUAAUGUGAUGAAUUAUGUAUUGUACAUUGUGGAUAGGUGGUGAGUAAAUUACAUGGUAAAAGUACAGAGAUUGUGCUUGAAGACUGGGAUUAGGAGUACAUCGACUCCUAGAACUAUGAGUAAACUUAUUAUCGUCUUAAUUAUCUAGAGUAGUUUUAUACAAUUGUGUGAUUUUAUAGAAAAUGGGUUUAAAUGGUAAAUUGUUACGUUUUAGGAGAAAUUGUGAUUUUAUAAAAUGAUUUUAUAAAUUUUUUGAAAAAUUGAAUACUGGUUUUGAAAAUAGAGUAAUUGGAGACUGCCUGCUUGUGUUAUAAAUUGUGUUUUAAAUUAUAUGGCUUAUAACAAUAUGUGAGCAUGAAUGGUAAAGUCGGUAUUUGUAUCAAAAUUAUAUAUACUAUGUAUUCAGCCUUGAGAGGCUAGAUUGCGAUAAAUUGCCAUGUCAUGCAGAUAAGGAUUUUAUAAAUCAGGUGGUAGAUAAAAUAAUCCAUAGUCACUGCAGUGGUGGGGGUUUCCGUGGACUGCUUAUGAGAGGGGCACGGUAAUUCAGUUAUAUAUUUACCUCCGGGGGAAGAUGUUGGAUGAAGUAUCUCUUGAGAUAAAGAUUUGAGUGCACUUCACGUGGACCAUCGCAUGAGAGUGAGACUCAACCAACGCCAAGGAACGACUGUGUGUCAGAUGCGAAAACAUGUUUAUGGGUAUGGGACAUUUAACAGCCUUGGCAGUCUCAGUGGGAUACCUUGACGAAGGUACCCGCGAGAAUGAUUUUGGCAGGAGCCAAGUUUUGUGAAAUAUAUGAAACAUAUAUUGGAAAAGAAUAUUUUAAUUCGUCUCCAUUUACUCGCCUUUAGAUAGUUUAGAUGGUGACGGUUUACUCACUGGGAUUUUACAAUCUCACCACCCUCAUUUCCUCACAUUUCAGGCUCGAGGAAUUCCAUAGUUAGCUGACUUUAACAAGGACCUUCAUUUGGACUUGAACUGGCAAAAGCUGUAGGUUUUCAGCUUUCGAUACAUUUUGGUUAGAUGUGGGCCCACGUGUCGUUGUAAAAGUAAUUUUAUGCUUUG
This 1729-nucleotide long non-coding RNA is filed under the name Theobroma cacao (cacao). RNAcentral describes it as "long non-coding RNA (TCAC_LNC003724)". The record is from RNAcentral. Lineage: Eukaryota; Viridiplantae; Streptophyta; Magnoliopsida; Malvales; Malvaceae.